UACAGAGACUGCAAGCGUUGUUCGGAUUCACUGGGCGCAAAGGGUGCGCAGGCGGUCGGGUGUGUCAGAUGUGAAAUCCCGAGGCUCAACCUCGGAACUGCGUCUGAAACUACUCGACUAGAGUACUGGAGAGGGUAACGGAAUUCACGGUGUAGCAGUGAAAUGCGUAGAGAUCGUAAGGAAGACCAGUGGCGAAGGCGGGUCUCUGGACAGUUCCUGACACUGAGGCACGAAGGCCAGGGGAGCAAACGGG
RNAcentral lists this ribosomal RNA (253 nucleotides) under uncultured bacterium. RNAcentral's name for it is "partial 16S ribosomal RNA". It matches the Rfam family "Bacterial small subunit ribosomal RNA", at positions 524 to 776 of the family's 1533-position model. The record is from RNAcentral.